GCUUAUGACCAUACCAAGUUGAUAAAGUUUGCUCUUGGCAGCUAAGCAGCGUUAGCCCUGGUUAGUACUUGGCUGGGAGACUGCCUGGGAUUACAGGGUUCUGUAAGAU
Molecule: ribosomal RNA, 109 nt
Filed under: Electrophorus electricus (electric eel)
Lineage: Eukaryota; Metazoa; Chordata; Actinopteri; Gymnotiformes; Gymnotidae
Source: RNAcentral